Molecule: ribosomal RNA, 253 nt
Filed under: uncultured bacterium
Lineage: Bacteria
Description: partial 16S ribosomal RNA
Rfam family: Bacterial small subunit ribosomal RNA
Source: RNAcentral
UACGUAGGGCGCAAGCGUUGUCCGGAAUUAUUGGGCGUAAAGAGCUCGUAGGCGGCUUGUCACGUCGAUUGUGAAAGCCCGAGGCUUAACCUCGGGUCUGCAGUCGAUACGGGCUAGCUAGAGUGUGGUAGGGGAGAUCGGAAUUCCUGGUGUAGCGGUGAAAUGCGCAGAUAUCAGGAGGAACACCGGUGGCGAAGGCGGAUCUCUGGGCCAUUGCUGACGCUGAGGAGCGAAAGCGUGGGGAGCGAACAGG